GCACAGCUGAGGAGUCCUAUCAUAAGACGAAACGGAUGUCCAGUGC
This 46-nucleotide non-coding RNA is filed under the name Schistosoma mattheei. Lineage: Eukaryota; Metazoa; Platyhelminthes; Trematoda; Strigeidida; Schistosomatidae. The record is from RNAcentral.